This 374-nucleotide ribosomal RNA is filed under the name uncultured organism. Its description in RNAcentral is "bacterial SSU rRNA". It matches the Rfam family "Bacterial small subunit ribosomal RNA", at positions 526 to 896 of the family's 1533-position model. The record is from RNAcentral.
CGUAGGAGGCAAGCGUUAUCCGGAUUCACUGGGCGUAAAGCGCGUGCAGGCGGUGCGGUAAGUUGGGCGUGAAAUCUCCCGGCUCAACUGGGAUAGGUCGUCCAAUACUACCGUACUUGAGAGCAGAAGAGGAAAAUGGAAUUCCCGGUGUAGUGGUGAAAUGCGUAGAUAUCGGGAGGAACACCAGUGGCGAAGGCGAUUUUCUGGUCUGUUUCUGACGCUCAGACGCGACAGCUAGGGUAGUAAACGGGAUUAGAGACCCCGGUAAUCCUAGCCGUAAACGAUGUGAACUUGGCGUUGGUGGGUUAAAACUCCAUCAGUGCCGUAGCAAACGCGAUAAGUUCACCGCCUGGGGGACUACGGCCGCAAGGUUA